Molecule: ribosomal RNA, 374 nt
Filed under: uncultured organism
Description: partial 16S ribosomal RNA
Rfam family: Bacterial small subunit ribosomal RNA
Source: RNAcentral
GUAGGUGGCAAGCGUUGUCCGGAAUUAUUGGGCGUAAAGCGCGCGCAGGCGGGUCCUUUAAGUCUGAUGUGAAAGCCCACGGGCUCAACCGUGGAGGGUCAUUGGAAACUGGGGGACUUGAGUACAGAAGAGGAAAGCGGAAUUCCAAGUGUAGCGGUGAAAUGCGUAGAGAUUUGGAGGAACACCAGUGGCGAAGGCGGCUUUCUGGCCUGUAACUGACGCUGAGGCGUGAAAGCGUGGGGAGCAAACAGGAUUAGAUACCCUGGUAGUCCACGCCGUAAACGAUGAGUGCUAAGUGUUAGGGGGUUUCCGCCCCUUAGUGCUGCAGCUAACGCAUUAAGCACUCCGCCUGGGGAGUACGGCCGCAAAGGCUG